RNAcentral lists this ribosomal RNA (419 nucleotides) under uncultured bacterium. Its description in RNAcentral is "bacterial SSU rRNA". It matches the Rfam family "Bacterial small subunit ribosomal RNA", at positions 355 to 788 of the family's 1533-position model. The record is from RNAcentral.
UGGGGAAUAUUGGGCAAUGGGGGAAACCCUGACCCAGCAACGCCGCGUGAAGGAAGAAGGCUUUCGGGUUGUAAACUUCUUUUACCAGGGACGAAGGACGUGACGGUACCUGGAGAAAAAGCAACGGCUAACUACGUGCCAGCAGCCGCGGUAAUACGUAGGUUGCAAGCGUUGUCCGGAUUUACUGGGUGUAAAGGGCGUGUAGGCGGAGAAGCAAGUUGGGAGUGAAAUCCAUGGGCUCAACCCAUGAACUGCUCUCAAAACUGUUUCCCUUGAGUAUCGGAGAGGCAAGCGGAAUUCCUAGUGUAGCGGUGAAAUGCGUAGAUAUUAGGAGGAACACCAGUGGCGAAGGCGGCUUGCUGGACGACAACUGACGCUGAGGCGCGAAAGCGUGGGGAGCAAACAGGAUUAGAUACCCC